Molecule: ribosomal RNA, 110 nt
Filed under: Caerostris darwini
Lineage: Eukaryota; Metazoa; Arthropoda; Arachnida; Araneae; Araneidae
Source: RNAcentral
AACGGCCGUACCAUGCUGAAUAUACCGGUUCUCGUUAGAUCACCGAAGUUAAGCAUCAUUGGGCGCGGUCAGUACUUGGGUGGGUGACCACCUGGGAACACAUGCGUGCC